GGAAGUUCCGCAAGGCACAGAAAUCCCAGGUCAGAUCUCUGCCUCGGCCCCUUCAGGAAAUCCUGUCACUCACUCAGGACUUAUAUACAGCUCAGAGUGGCCAACUCCACUGAGCUCCUGUGGUUAGUCUGUCUGGCCUUACCUGCCUUCCCUUCCUAACUAGGGAAAGGAAAAGAUUUAAAGUAGAUACCACCGACAUGAGAAAGAACUCUCCAGGCAAUCAUCAAAGAAGUUAAAAUAGUUGGAUCCCCCUGAGGAGAGCCUGGCAUAGAAAGGAGCAAGCUUUUCACCAGCAUGCCGCUGCCUUUAAUCCCUGUCUUCCUGGGGUUGCUUGUGCAAAACGCCUGCUCCCCAACAGAAGCCCCAGAACCGGCAAAAAGAUGUGAUAAGAAGUCUACCCUAACCAUCAGGACAGAAUGCCAAUCCUGCUCCGCCAACUUUGCAGUCAAGUGUCCAGAUGGCUACAUCAAGGUUACGAAUGGCUCUAUCGGGGUUCGAGAUUGCAGGUAUUCGCUUGACAUCCAGUCAUACGUUCUGGCUAUCCCUGGAUGCCGCCAUAUUUGUAGGAAGGAUUACCUACAACCUCAAUGUUGUCCAGGACACUGGGGCCCAGACUGCAUGGAAUGCCCAGGAGGAGCAAGGGCACCGUGUGGUGGCAAGGGCGUUUGUGCUGAGGGCAUGGAUGGAACGGGAAGAUGCUCCUGCCAAGCAGGCUUUCGUGGAACAGCCUGUGAAGCCUGUGCUGCUGAGAACGUUUUUGGGCCCAAUUGUUCAGCAGUGUGCAAUUGUGUCCACGGUGUAUGCAACAGCGGAAUGAAUGGUGACGGGACUUGUGAGUGCUUGUCUGCAUACAGGGGACCCAGGUGUGACAAGCCCAUCCCCGAGUGUGCAACCUUGCUCUGCCCAGAAAACUCCAGAUGCUCACCUUCCAGCAAAGAUGAAACAAAACUCCAAUGCAAAUGCCUUCCCAGUUACGAAGGGGAUGGCCAGAACUGCAAGCCCAUCAACCCAUGUUUAAAAAACGUCUGCCACCCUCAUGCCAGUUGUUCCUACCUGGGACCAAAUCGGCACAGUUGUGUAUGCCAAAAAGGCUACCAAGGAGACGGUCAAGUGUGUCUGCCAGUGGACCCCUGCCAAACCAACUAUGGAGACUGCCCUACAAAGUCUACAGUGUGCAAAUACGAUGGGCCUGGACAGUCUCACUGCGAGUGUAAAGAACAUUACCGCAAUUUUGUACCAGGAGUUGGGUGCAGUAUGACCGACAUCUGUGAAUCAAAGAACCCAUGUCAUAAGAAUGCAAACUGCAGCACAGUCUCACCAGGCCAAACACAAUGCACUUGCCAGAAAGGCUAUGUGGGCGACGGCCUGAACUGCUAUGGAAACAUCAUGCAGAGACUCAGAGAAUUAAAUACUGAACCCAGAGGAGUGUGGCAAGGACAGCUGACCUCUUUCAUCUCGAUACUCGACAGAACUUAUGCCUGGCCACUGAGCAGCCUGGGACCCUUCACUGUGCUGCUGCCCUCAGACAAAGGACUAAAAGAGCUUGAUGUAAAGGAGCUCUUGAUGGACAAAGAGGCUGCUCGGUACUUUGUGAAGCUCCACAUCGUGGCUGGGCAAAUGAGCACGGAGCAGAUGUAUAACUCAGACAUCUUCUACACCUUGACGGGAAAGUCGGGGGAAUUCAACAACGAUAAGGACAAUCAAUUACAGCUCAAACUUUAUGGAAGCAAAACAGUGAAAAUUAUCCAGGGGAACAUAGUUGCCUCAAAUGGGCUUGUGCACAUCCUCGACAGAGCCAUGGACAAGAUAGAGCCCACAUUUAAGAGCAACCCCCAGCAAACCAUUAUGACGAUGCUACAACCAAGAUAUGGCAAGUUCAGAUCUUUGCUGGAGAAAACCGAUGUUGGACAAGCCCUAGAGGAAGGUGGUACUGGAGGACCAUACACCAUUUUUGUUCCAAGUAAUGAAGCAUUGAGUAACAUGAAGGCUGGCAUCCUCGACUACCUUCUUUCUCCAGAGGGCUCUCGGAAGCUUCUGGAACUUGUCAGAUACCACAUUGUUGCAUUUACACAGCUGGAAGUGACCACUCUGGUUUCAACACCUCACAUCAGGAGCAUGGCCAACCAGAUCAUCAAGUUUAACGUAACCAGCAAAGGGCAGAUUCUGGCAAACAACGUGGCUGUGGACGAAACCGAGGUCGCUGCCAAAAACGGCCGAAUUUACACACUGAGCGGAGUUCUCAUUCCUCCCUCCAUCCUGCCGAUCCUUCCCCACCGAUGCAAUGAAACAAAGAGGGAGUUGCAACUGGGCACUUGCGUCAGCUGUUCCAUGAAACAUUGGAGCAAAUGUCCUACUGACUCAGAGCCCACGGCAAUCUUCACACACAAAUGUUUCUACGGCAGCAGAACACGGAACCUGAAAAGUGGCUGUGCCCGAUAUUGUAAUGUGACUCUGGAGAUACCAAGAUGCUGUAAAGGUUUCUUCGGGCCUGACUGCCACCCAUGUCCAGGAGGUUUCAUGACUCCGUGUUCUGGAAAUGGGCAGUGCAUAGAUGGCCUCGGUGGCAACGGGACCUGCAUUUGUGAGGAUGGCUUCCAAGGUUCCAUGUGUCAGUUCUGCUCUGACCCCAACAGAUACGGACCUCGCUGUAACAGAACCUGCCCAUGUGUUCAUGGAACAUGUGAUAACAGACUGGACAGCGAUGGAGCCUGCCUGUCAGGAACAUGCCGAGAGGGCACGGCUGGGAGGUUCUGCGACAAGCAAAUGUCAGCCUGUGGGCCCUAUGUGCAUUUCUGUCACAUCCAUGCCACCUGUGAAUACAGAGGUGACACAGCCAGCUGUGUCUGCAAUGAGGGCUAUGAAGGAGAUGGAACUCUCUGUUCUAAGAAGGACCCUUGCCUGGAAUUGAUCUCCAGAAGAGGCUGUAGUCCUAAUGCAGAAUGCACCCAAACUAGCAUGGGGACAUACAGCUGUGUGUGCCAGCGGGGCUGGACAGGGAACGGAAGAGACUGUGUGGAGAUCAACAACUGCCUGUUGCCUAGCUCUGGUGGCUGCCACGACAAUGCCACCUGUUUAUAUGUAGGCCCUGGGCAGAAUGAAUGUGAGUGCAAGAAAGGAUUUCGAGGAAACGGGGUUGAUUGUGAACCGGUCAUUUCAUGCUUGGAACAAACAGAGAAAUGUCACCCUCUGGCCACCUGUCAGUCUACUCCGUCUGGUGUUUGGAGCUGUGUUUGCCAAGAGGGCUAUGAAGGGAAUGGUGUCCUGUGCUAUGGAAAUGUGCUCACGGAAUUGUCAUUUCUCUCUGAAGCGGCUGCGUUUUACCAGUGGAUAAAUAAUGCUUCCCUGCAGUCUAUGCUGGCUGCCACCUCCAAUCUCACUGUCCUUGUGCCAUCCCAGCAAGCCAUUGAGAACAUGGACCAGACUGAGAAAAGCUUCUGGUUGUCACGGAACAAUAUUCCAGCCUUGAUAAAAUACCACAUACUACGAGGCACAUACGGAGUGGCUGAUCUGCAGACCCUGUCAUCCUCUCACAUGCUAGCGACGUCCCUUCAGGGAAGCUUCCUUCACCUGGACAAGGCAGAUGGGAAUAUCACAAUUGAAGGGGCAUCCAUUGUGGACGGUGACAAUGCAGCCACAAAUGGGGUGGUCCAUAUCAUCAACAAGGUACUGGUCCCCCAAAGAGGUCUAACUGGCUCCUUGCCAAAUCUACUCACCCGUCUGGAGCAGAUGCCUGACUAUUCCAUCUUCCGAGGCUAUAUCAUUCAAUACAAUCUGGCAAGUGCAAUCGAGGCUGCAGAUGCUUACACUGUGUUUGUGCCAAACAAUGAAGCCAUUGAAAAUUAUAUCAGGGAGAAGAAAGCCACCUCUCUAAAGGAAGACAUUCUUCGGUACCAUGUGGUCCUGGGAGAAAAACUCCUGAAGAAUGACUUGCACAACGGCAUGCACCGAGAGACCAUGCUGGGGUUCUCCUACCUCCUUGCCUUCUUUCUCCAUAAUGACCAGCUGUAUGCCAAUGAAGUUCCAAUAAACUACACCAAUGUGGCCACUGACAAAGGAGUGAUCCAUGGUCUGGAGAAAGUUCUGGAAAUUCAGAAGAAUAGAUGUGACAAUAAUGACACCACUAUUGUGAGAGGUAAAUGUGGAAAGUGUCACCAGCCAGCAUUCUGCCCACUCGAGACAAAACCAUUUAGCGAGCCGAGGAAAUGCAUCUAUUCCAUUUACUUCAUGGGGAAGAGAUCUGUAUUCAUUGGAUGCCAGCCACAGUGUGUGAGAACCAUCAUUACAAGAGCAUGCUGUGCUGGCUUCUUUGGCCCACAGUGCCAACCCUGCCCUGGGAAAGGUCAGAAUGUGUGCUCUGGGAAUGGCUUCUGUCUGGACGGCAUGAAUGGCACUGGUACAUGUGAGUGCGGGCAGGGCUUCAGUGGGACAGCCUGUGAGACCUGCACAGAGGGGAAGUAUGGUGUGCACUGCGACCAAGCAUGCUCUUGUGUCCAUGGGAGAUGUAACCAAGGUCCCUCUGGAGACGGCACCUGUGACUGUGAUGUCGGCUGGCGAGGAGUGAAGUGUGACAGCGAGAUCACAACAGACAACUGCAAUGGGACCUGCCACACCAGUGCCAACUGCCUUCUCGAUCCAGAUGGUAAAGCCUCGUGCAAAUGUGCAGCUGGAUUCCGAGGCAAUGGAACAGUCUGCACAGCCAUCAAUGCCUGUGAGAUCAGCAAUGGAGGCUGCUCUGCCAAGGCUGACUGUAAAAGAACCACCCCAGGAAGCCGGGUGUGUGUGUGCAAGGCAGGCUAUACCGGUGACGGCAUCGUGUGCCUCGAAAUCAACCCGUGUUUGGAGAACCACGGCGGCUGUGACCGGCAUGCAGAGUGCACUCAGACAGGCCCCAACCAGGCCGUCUGUAACUGUCUGCCGAAGUACACUGGAGAUGGAAAGGUCUGCACGCUCAUCAACAUCUGCUUAACUAAUAAUGGCGGCUGCAGUCCCUUUGCCAUCUGCAAUUACACGGAAGAAGAUCAGAGGAUAUGUACCUGCAAGCCAAACUACACAGGGGAUGGAAUCAUCUGCCGUGGCAGCAUCUAUGGGGAACUUCCUAAGAACCCCUCAACGUCCCAGUAUUUCUUCCAGUUACAGGAGCAUGCUGUCCAAGAACUUGCUGGACCUGGCCCCUUCACUGUGUUUGCACCUUCAUCUAACUCCUUCGAUCAAGAGCCCAGGAUUAAAGACUGGGAUCAGCAGGGCCUCAUGUCCCAGGUUCUUCGGUAUCACGUGGUGGCCUGCCAGCAGCUGCUGCUGGAAAACCUAAAAGAGGUCACAAAUGCCACAACCCUCCAAGGAGAGCCAAUUUCCAUCUCUGUCUCUCAGGAUACCGUGUUCAUAAACAAUAAGGCGAAGGUCCUGUCCAGUGACAUCAUCAGUACCAACGGAGUCAUCCACAUCAUAGACAAGUUGUUGUCUCCCCAAAACUUGCUUAUCACCCCUAAAGAUGCCUUAGGCAGGGUUCUGCAAAACCUUACUACAGUGGCAACAAACCAUGGAUAUACCAGAUUCAGCAAGUUGAUACAGGACUCGGGCUUGCUGAAAGUCAUCACAGACCCCAUGCACACCCCAGUCACUCUCUUCUGGCCUUCCGACAAAGCCCUCCAAGCCUUGCCCCCAGAGCAGCAGGACUUCCUGUUCAAUGAAGACAACAAGGACAAGCUGAUGGCAUACCUGAAGUUUCAUGUGAUCCGAGACACCAGGGCUUUACCUUCAGACCUGCCCAGGUCAGCUUCCUGGAAGACCCUGCAGGGUUCAGAGCUGAGUGUGAGGUGUGGAACUGGCAGCGACAUUGGUGAGCUCUUUCUAAAUGGACAAAUGUGCAGGAUCGUACAGCGGGGUCUCUUGUUUGACGUGGGUGUGGCCUAUGGUAUUGACUGCCUGCUAAUGGAUCCUACCCUAGGUGGCCGAUGUGACACUUUUACUACCUUCAGUAUUACGGGGGAGUGUGGGAGCUGUAUCACCACUCCCAGAUGCCCACUCCAGAGCAAACCAAAGGGUGUGAGGAAGAAGUGUAUCUACAACCCAUUACCUUUCAAGAGGAGUGUGGAAGGCUGCCAGAACCUGUGCACCCUGGUGGUCCAAAUCCCCAGGUGCUGCAGUGGUUACUUCAUGCCGGACUGUCAAGCCUGCCCUGGAGGACCAGACACACCGUGUAAUAACCGGGGCACGUGCUUUGAUAUGUACACACCUACAGGACCGUGCCUAUGCCACACCGGUUUCAACGGGACAGCCUGCGAGCUCUGCUGGCCUGGGAGAUUUGGGCCUGACUGUCAACCCUGCGGCUGCUCCGAGCAUGGGCAGUGUGACGAGGGGAUCACAGGCUCUGGACAGUGCCUCUGUGAAGCAGGGUGGACAGGCCGCUUCUGUGACACUCCCACAGUUGUGAUCCCAGAGUGCAUACCUGCUUGUUCCGUGCACGCCACAUGUAUGGAGAAUAACACGUGUGUCUGUGACUUGAAUUACGAAGGUGAUGGACUCACGUGCACAGUCGUGGACUUCUGCAAACAGAACAACGGGGGCUGUGCAAAGGUCGCCAAGUGCUCCCAGAAGGACACACAAGUCUCUUGCAGAUGUCAGAAGGGCUACAAGGGGGAUGGCUACAGCUGCACGGAGAUAGACCCCUGUGCAGACGGUGUCAACGGUGGAUGUCAUGAGCACGCCACCUGCAGGAUGACUGGCCCAGGCAAGCGUAAGUGUGAAUGUAAAAGUCACUAUGUCGGGGACGGACAGGACUGUGAACCCGAACAGCUGCCCCUUGACCGCUGCCUACAGGACAACGGACAGUGCCACCCAGAUGCUAACUGUGCAGACCUUCACUUCCAGGACACUACUGUCGGCGUGUUCCACCUACGCUCCCCACUGGGCCAGUACAAGCUGACAUUUGACAAAGCCAAAGAGGCCUGUGCCAACGAAGCUGCGUCCAUAGCUACCUACAACCAGCUCUCCUAUGCUCAGAAGGCCAAGUAUCACCUCUGCUCAGCUGGCUGGCUGGAGAAUGGGCGGGUUGCCUACCCCACAACCUAUGCCUCUAAGAAAUGUGGUGCCAAUGUUGUUGGGAUUAUAGACUAUGGAUCCAGGGCCAACAAGAGUGAAAUGUGGGACGUCUUCUGUUACCGGAUGAAAGAUGUGAACUGCACCUGCAAGCCAGGCUAUGUGGGAGACGGCUUCUCGUGCAGUGGGAACCUGCUGCAAGUCCUUAUGUCCCUCCCCUCGCUCAAGAACUUCCUGACAGAGGUGCUGGCUUUUUCCAAGAGCUCAGCCCGAGGCCAGGCAUUUUUGAAACACCUAACUGACCCAUCCAUCAGUGGCACUCUGUUUGUGCCACAGAACAGUGGGUUACUGGAAAAUAAGAGCCUGUCUGGGCGGGACAUCGAGCAGCACCUCACUAAUGUCAAUGGCUUUUUUUACGAUGACCUUGUCAAUGGUACCAUCCUGAGGACUAGCCUGGGAAGCCAACUGCUCAUUACCUCCAGCCAGGACCAGCUCCACCAAGAGACCAGGUUUGUGGAUGGAAGAGCCAUUCUGCAGUGGGACAUCAUUGCCUCCAAUGGCCUCCUCCAUAUCAUUUCUGAGCCUUUGAAAGCCCCUCCCUCAGCAGCAAUGGCUGCCCACUCUGGCCUGGGAACAGGCAUAUUCUGCGCUGUCGUCCUGGUCACUGGUGCGAUUGCUCUGGCUGCCUACUCCUACUUCCGGCUAAACCAGAGAACAAUUGGCUUCCGGCGUUUUGAGUCAGAAGAUGACAUUGAUGUCUUGGCUUUUGGCAAGCAGCAGCCUGAGAGUAUCGCAAACCCUUUGUAUGAGACCUCAACGCCGGCACCCCCCGAGCCCUCCUGUUACCCCUUCACAAAACGGGGAAGCAGUAUUGAGAAGCACACAGGCAACAUCAAGCAGCAAAACUUGAAGCAUGGAUGGGCCCAGCAUAAGCAGCCCUGAUCAGCACCCAGCCCCCACACACCCAGCUCCCACAUGAGGCGGCAGCACGACGGGAGGCUCCUGAGGCAAGGCAUGCUUUAGGCCCGCCCAGCCCUGUAUGAAGCAGCAUCAUGAGCAAAGGACUCUGGAGAACAAGAGCUGGAGAACAGCGACCCGCUGGGGGCACUGAGGUCCUGAUGUGAUAAGCCAGCCACAUGAGCCCCGAGCCAUCAUGGUUCCCCAGUGAAUCCCCAGCCCCAGCAAUCUCUUGGGUCAUUUGUUUUAAAGUAUAAUAACACUCAGAAGCCAUACCUCACCCCUAUGGUUAAUCUGGGGCUGUCACCAUGGGUAAGGGGCCAUGUUGCCUGGAUACCCAGGGGACCUCCACCUUCUCUGGGGCUCCACUGUGGUUUUCUGCACAUUCCAGAUGGUGCUUGAUGGUGAUUUCUGCCCUAUCCUGUGGGCAGCUGUGACCUUGUGGUAUUCUCCUAUCGACUGUACGCACCAAGGCAGGGCUUCGCCUCAUAUGUUCUAUAUCCCAGUACCCAGAAGUACCUGCCACACCGGUGCACUCAAUAAAUGUUUUGGGAACAAAAAAAGUCACUGUGUACCUAGGAAGUGUCAAACAAUGAAAGCAAAAUACACUCACCAGGCUCAUUAGAGCCCUUCCAAUUGGCCAACA
RNA transcript from Grammomys surdaster, 8638 nucleotides. It is a transcript of the gene named stabilin 2, with no coding region annotated. The record is from RefSeq and is a predicted model, not a curated record. Lineage: Eukaryota; Metazoa; Chordata; Mammalia; Rodentia; Muridae. The transcript has 70 exons.